RNAcentral lists this unclassified non-coding RNA (209 nucleotides) under Lecanoromycetes sp. Its description in RNAcentral is "partial contains small subunit ribosomal RNA, internal transcribed spacer 1, and 5.8S ribosomal RNA". The stretch from base 1 to 46 matches the Rfam family "Eukaryotic small subunit ribosomal RNA", at positions 1786 to 1831 of the family's 1831-position model. Lineage: Eukaryota; Fungi; Ascomycota; Lecanoromycetes. The record is from RNAcentral.
AAGUCGUAACAAGGUUUCCGUAGGUGAACCUGCGGAAGGAUCAUUACUGAGACCGGGUGCUUCGGCGCCCGACCUUCAACCCUAUGUUUAAACACCUUGUUUCUUUGGCGGCAUUUGUCGCCAGAAGCAAUCUCAAAUUCUUUAUUAAUGUAUCUUCUGAAUCAAAUUUAAAUAAAUUAAAACUUUCAACAACGGAUCUCUUGGUUCUG